RNAcentral lists this transfer RNA (71 nucleotides) under Neotoma lepida (desert woodrat). It matches the Rfam family "tRNA". Rfam says of the family: Transfer RNA (tRNA) molecules are approximately 80 nucleotides in length. The record is from Rfam by way of RNAcentral. Lineage: Eukaryota; Metazoa; Chordata; Mammalia; Rodentia; Cricetidae.
GGAGAUGUAGCUCAAUGGUAGAGCGUUUGCCAAAUAAGCACAGGGAUCUUGCUUCAAAUGCAAGCACACCA